This 649-nucleotide ribosomal RNA is filed under the name uncultured Oscillatoriales cyanobacterium. Its description in RNAcentral is "bacterial SSU rRNA". It matches the Rfam family "Bacterial small subunit ribosomal RNA", at positions 99 to 794 of the family's 1533-position model. The record is from RNAcentral. Lineage: Bacteria; Bacillati; Cyanobacteriota; Cyanophyceae; Oscillatoriales.
CGGACGGGUGAGUAACGCGUGAGAACCUGCCCUCCAGAGGGGGAUAACAGUUGGAAACACUGCUAAUACCCCAUACGCCGAAAGGUAAAAGGAGCAAUCGCUGGAGGAGGGGCUCGCGUCCGAUUAGCUAGUUGGUAGGGUAAAGGCCUACCAAGGCACGAUCGGUAGCCGGUCUGAGAGGACGAACGGCCACACUGGGACUGAGACACGGCCCAGCUCCUACGGGAGGCAGCAGUGGGGAAUUUUCCGCAAUGGGCGAAAGCCUGACGGAGCCAACCGCGUGAGGGAAGAAGGCCUUCGGGUUGUAAACCUCAAAAGCUGGGGAAGAAAACGACGGUACCCAGUGUAAGCCUCGGCUAACUCCGUCCAGCAGCCGCGGUAAGACGGAGGAGGCGAGCGUUAUCCGGAAUCAUUGGGCGUAAAGGUCCGUAGGCGGCAGUGCAAGUCCGUGGUCAAAGGCCCCGGCUCAACCGGGGAAAGGCCAGGAAACUGCACCGCUAGAGCCAGGCAGGGGUAGGGGGAAUUCCCAGUGGAGCGGUGAAAGCGUAGAGAUUGGGAAGAACACCGGUGGCGAAGGCGCCCUACUGGGCCUGUGCUGACGUGAGGGACGAAAGCUAGGGGAGCGAAAGGGAUUAGAUACCCCUGUAGU